ACCCGCCAGCCCCGCGCUCUACCAGGCAGAGCGCGUGUGGCCGCCGAGCACAUGGACCCACUGGUCAAGCGGGCUCGGCAAGGCCAGGAUGAAGAGAAGCUACGAACUUAGCAUUCCCAGAGCCCCCCGAGUGGAUAUCCGCGUGGAAAGGAUGUUGGCAGCCCCGGUGACCUCGGAGUCACGGCUGGAUCCACCCUCUUGUCUGAUUUUCUUAACUCUACUACGGUAAGAAGAUGCCCUCCAUCAGCAGGCCGUGUCUGCUGGGACCUCUCUGGAGACUUCCUGAACCCUGUGGAUUUACAGUAAGAUGCAGUUUCCUGGGGAGUAAUUCUGGUGGAUACAAAUUCCGGAGUAUUACACCUGGCUUGCCUGGAGAUGUUACAAGUAGCUGGAUGGAUUCUUCAGCCUGGAUGCCCACUGAAAACAAGGACCGAAACUAAGAGGAUUGUAUCUCUACCCUUGACUCAAUGAGAAUGUUUGUUGUCAUCUCUCGGGCUACCUGGAGCUCCCUCUAAAAUAGAGCCGAGUUCUGUCACCACAGACAUUGGCAGUGGCACUUGCAUGCCCCUGGCAAGCAGUCUAUCCUGAGGUGGAGGAAGUUGCCCUUGAGUUCUGGCUGGUAACCAGCACAGUAUACCCUUUAAGCGUUCCAGAAGGAUUUUGAGAUCCUUUCCUAAAUCAAAGGUGGAAUAUUUGGGGAUUUGGAAAAUUGAGGCUUCAGAGAAAUCAGGAGCGGUGAAUGAUCGAAAUGGACCUUUGAGAUUACAGUGUGGAGCUGACAUUGCCAGUUAAGCCUGGGCAGAUCUGACUUAAUUGAUUUAGUUGUUGGAGCAGAGACAACCCAGAGGCUUGGAUCAGCCUCCCCAUCUGACAGUGUGCUGAUGUGAAGCGUUGACUUAAGAGAUGCCAAGUAACUCAGCAGAUGUCACACAGACGAUAAAUAGCAAAGAUGGAAGUCUUCAUGCCGGAGGCAAUCCUAUAAGACAGCUGAGUUCUGCAGAGCUGGUAGGAGACAGACUUGCUCAGGUGAUAGAUCCAGCCAUGAUACUGACCCUAAGAGAAUGAGACGCUCUGCAGAAGACAGAAGAUUCCUGAAACUGGGAAAGGUGCCUAGAAAUCCUGAUAAGAGUGAAGAAGGAGCUGGCAGAGCAGCCUUCCUCCGCACUAUGAAAGACAUCCAACAGAGAGCAAGUUCCCACCUCACUUCCAGCUUGACUCCUUUUUAUCUCCUAACUGUGGUCUGUGAUGUCUUCAGCAAUGGUAUUAACUAGUUCUGGGUACCUGGAGGCACAGCAGCCAUGUUGAACCUAUGAGGUGAUGAAAAACCAUGCAACUAGAAACCAGAAUGGAAGAAAAGAAGAAGCUGGAUCCUUGACUGAAUUGUCGAUGGGGGAUAGUCCAUCAUCCCAGGGCUAAGACCACCUCCAGAUUUCUUGUUUGGUGAAACAAGUCCUGAUUGUUUACAUUCCCUCGUGUUGAGCUGUCUCUUGCUUGUAGCUGAAAGCAUUUCUAAUAGAUAUUCAGAUUAUCAGCCUUAGCUCCAAGCUAGAAUACUCUAUGGGACCUUAGCUUCUCCAUGAAUUCCUUUGCUCAUCUGUGUAAUGCUCAAUAAAUGUAAAUUGAACCCUGAAUGAGGGACAAUGACA
This 1646-nucleotide long non-coding RNA is filed under the name Mus musculus (house mouse). RNAcentral describes it as "Pvt1 oncogene". The stretch from base 44 to 200 matches the Rfam family "Pvt1 oncogene conserved region 1". The record is from RNAcentral. Lineage: Eukaryota; Metazoa; Chordata; Mammalia; Rodentia; Muridae.